UCCCUGGUGGCUCAGCUGGUAGGGAAUCUGCCUGCGAUGCAGGAGACCUGGGUUCAAUCCCUGGGUUGGGAA
Ovis aries (sheep) is the source of this 72-nucleotide transfer RNA. It matches the Rfam family "tRNA". Rfam says of the family: Transfer RNA (tRNA) molecules are approximately 80 nucleotides in length. Their secondary structure includes four short double-helical elements and three loops (D, anti-codon, and T loops). Lineage: Eukaryota; Metazoa; Chordata; Mammalia; Artiodactyla; Bovidae. The record is from Rfam.